GAUGAAGAACGUAGCGAAAUGCGAUAAGUAAUGUGAAUUGCAGAAUUCAGUGAAUCAUCGAAUCUUUGAACGCACCUUGCGCCCUUUGGCCAUUCCGAAGGGCAUGCCUGUUUGAGUAUCAUGAACACCUCAACUCUUUAUGGUUUUCCAUGAUGAGCUUGGACUCUGGGGGUUUUGCUGGCUCACAGUCGGCUCCUCUAAAAUAAAUCAGCUUACCAGUGUUUGGUGGGUAUCAUGGGUGUGAUAACUAUCUACGCUUGUGGUUUUUCCACCAGGUAACCUUCAGCAGUGGAGGUUCGCUGGAGCUCAUAGCCGUCUCUCCUCAGUGAGGACAGCCCUUUGAACGUUUGAUCUCAAAUCAGGUAGGACUACCCGCUGAACUUAAGCAUAUCAAUAAGCGGAGGA
Molecule: unclassified non-coding RNA, 405 nt
Filed under: soil metagenome
Description: partial contains 5.8S ribosomal RNA, internal transcribed spacer 2, and large subunit ribosomal RNA
Rfam family: 5.8S ribosomal RNA (bases 1-121)
Source: RNAcentral